UAAGGAAUAUUGGUCAAUGGACGCAAGUCUGAACCAGCCAUGCCGCGUGGAGGAUGAAGGUCCUCUGGAUUGUAAACUUCUUUUAUCUGGGACGAAACACUCCUAUUCUUAGGGGCCUGACGGUACCAGAUGAAUAAGCACCGGCUAACUCCGUGCCAGCAGCCGCGGUAAUACGGAGGGUGCAAGCGUUAUCCGGAUUCACUGGGUUUAAAGGGUGCGUAGGUGGGUAUGUAAGUCAGUGGUGAAAUCCCCGAGCUUAACUUGGGAACUGCCGUUGAUACUAUAUAUCUUGAAUGUCGUAGAGGUAAGCGGAAUAUGUCAUGUAGCGGUGAAAUGCUUAGAGAUGACAUAGAACACCAAUUGCGAAGGCAGCUUGCUAUGCGAUUAUUGACACUGAGGCACGAAAGCGUGGGUAGCAAACA
RNAcentral lists this ribosomal RNA (422 nucleotides) under uncultured bacterium. Its description in RNAcentral is "bacterial SSU rRNA". It matches the Rfam family "Bacterial small subunit ribosomal RNA", at positions 355 to 774 of the family's 1533-position model. The record is from RNAcentral.